AGUAAAAUAACUGGGUCAAAUGGUUGUCCCAUUCCAAGUUUUCUGAGGAAUCUCCAUACUACUUUCCAGAUUGGUUACAUCAAUUUGUAGUCCCACCAGUAAU
This 103-nucleotide microRNA precursor is filed under the name Marmota monax (woodchuck). Lineage: Eukaryota; Metazoa; Chordata; Mammalia; Rodentia; Sciuridae. The record is from RNAcentral.